Molecule: signal recognition particle RNA, 99 nt
Filed under: Planctomycetota bacterium
Lineage: Bacteria; Pseudomonadati; Planctomycetota
Also listed under: 1 other name
Description: Planctomycetes bacterium signal recognition particle sRNA small type
Rfam family: Bacterial small signal recognition particle RNA
About the family: The signal recognition particle (SRP) is a universally conserved ribonucleoprotein involved in the co-translational targeting of proteins to membranes.
Source: RNAcentral
GGCCUGGUCUCAUGCAAUGAGAUGUCGUGGACAACGGGUCAGGCUGGAAACAGAGCAGCCCAUCUGCUACAGCCAUGUGCCGUGAGUCGCUGGGCCGCA